GAGUCUAUACAUGAACCCAUAAAUACUUAGUUUUGCAUUUCUUUCCAAGAACUGUAGAUCAUUUCUAUGGAUUCUUAGGUCCUAGUGGAAAAGCCAAGGGUUAAGCCCCUCAGCUUGCUAACGUCCAUUAAUUGUCAACUAAGGAGUAAAUGAUCCCCCAUUUGUUCUUGGUCUAAUGACAACUUGCAUAGUGUUACUAAAACUCAAGAAAGGUUCACUGAAGAAAAUACGAAGUGACGUAAACGGCGGGGAACAGAACAUGAGGAAUGAUAGAAUCCUCCAAGCCGAGUGCUUGUGGCUUCGUUUAAUUCACCAGGGGUGUAGGAAAGUGAAACAUGGGUUUGUGUCCUUUUUCAUUCUGAGAAGUGACUGUGUACAUCCUCAGCUGGCUGGAUAACUAUUCUUAGUGUGAGAGCAAGCAGUAGUCCCAGGAGCAGGCAUGAGCUCCACAGCCUAAUGUGUGUGCAUCCACUCAUUGAGCUGACAUUUGUAAUUCACCAUGCCUGGUGCUGGGGAGGCAGCGACAGGGCAGACAAGUUCCCUGUUCACGGGGAGCUCCGCUGGUCACCAGCAAGGUGCAAUAAAGAGGGAGAGGUGACAGGAGAGACGUGAGUGUAGGGACAACAAGCACCCAGAGGGAGUUUGCAUUUCCACCUCGGAGGGUGGGCCCUGGCAGCUGUUGUAGAGGUGGUGACUUGGGAAUGAUCAAGGCUGAAGAGCAGAAUUAGUAGACACAGACGCAGUCACACAACUACUCAGCAAAUGCCACUGGUUUCUUGAAUGUAGGCACUACUGGACAUGGGACAGAGGAUGGAGAGCAAUAUGCCCAAACAGGAAGUUGGGACUUUACUCCACAGGUAGCAGUUAGUUAUUGUCGGUAGGAGAAGAGAUGUGUUUUAGGAAGAUCACUCCAUGGUGUGAUAGUCAGAAUAUUCUGCCCACCACCACCAAGACGGCCGUAAUCUAAUUCCUAGAACUCUUGACUAUGUGGCAUUACAUGACAAAAGGGACUUUGCAGACACACUCACAUUAAGGACCUUGGGAUAGGGAGAUCCUUUUGGAUAAUCUGGGUGGAUCUAAUGUAAUCACGAUGGUCCAUAAAGUGGCAAAGGGAAGCACAAGAGGACAGCAAGAUGACAGAGGAAAAAGGUCAAGGAGAUUUGACAUUGCUGGCUUUGAAGAAGUUGGCUUUGAAGGGGCCCAUGAGUCAAGGAGUGAAAGCUGGGCAAGUCCAGGAAGCAGGCUUUCCUGCAGAGCCCCAGGAGGAGACACGGUUCUGUAGAUACCUGGAUUUUAGCCCUGUAAGACCUGUGUGGACUUCUGCAUUCCUGAGCUGUAAGAUAAUACGUUUGUGCUGUUUCAGGCCCCCAACUCCAUAAAUUUGUUUUGGCAGCAGAAAACUAGUCCAAAUGGCUCGGGGAGGACCAACGUGGGAGGGAGCAUAGCUCCCAGAAGGAGAGAGCUCCUCAGUGGGAACCCAGUCAGCAGCAGUGGAAAGGGAGGAAGUCACAGGGCACCAUCAGAUAGGACUUGUGCACCUGGCUGGGGUGCUGGUUCAGAAGAAAGGUGCCUGGGGAAGGACAAGCGAUGUAGGACUAGCAGCAGACUUGGGGAAGGUGAGAGUUUAGCUUUAAACAUUUUAAGUUGAGAAUGACCUUGAGGCUUUGAGGAACAGAUAAUUCAAUAUCUAGGUCUGUGGCUCAGGCAAACUGAAAUUUCGGAGUCAUGAGUUUAAAGGUGGCAGCGGAUGCCCAGAGCCAGGCUGACAGCCCUGAUGGAGAAGAGGCUGCAGGAGCCAAGGGCCUGAGGGGAGACCACAGCAGGCAGCUCAGGGUCAGAUGGGAGAAACAUUCCAAAGGCAGCCUUCCAGACUGUGGCUUUUCUCCUGUGGAAGUGGUGAGGGCUUCCACAGAAGAGUGCUGUGAAGGGCCCCUCGGCCUGUCUCGGGGCUCAGGGAAGAGUUCUUUUUUCUUUUUUUGAGAAAGAGUCUUGCUCUGUUGCCAGGCACCAGGCUGGAGUGCAGUGGUGCAAUCUCGGCUCACUGCAAUCUCUGCCUCCUGGAUUCAAGCAAUUCUCCUGCCUCAGCCUUCCGAGUAGCUGGGAUUACAGGGACAUGCCACCACAACCAGCUAAUUUUUGUAUUUUUUUUAGUAGAGACUGGUUUUCACCAUGUUGGCCAGGAUGGUCUCGAUCUCUUGACCUCGUGAUCUGCCCGCCUCGGCCUCCCAAAGUGCUGGGAUUACAGGUGUGAGCCACCGUGCCCGGCCAGGGAAGAAUUCUUAAAGGAGACAAUACUUAGCUAAAUCCUGAAGGAUGAACUUGGAGAAAAGAGGGGAAAGGCCAUUCCAGACAAAGGGAGGAGCAUAUAAAAAGGCCCCUGUACAGCACAGUGUGUGCCAAGAUCGAGAGGCAGCUGGAGAAGGCUGGCGAGUAAAGCAAGAGGACGUGUGUGGGCACAAAGAUAAAUAUUCAAGCUGAAGAUUCAAGUCCUGUUGCUGAUGAGGACUUCUAUGCAGAAAUGGUCAGCAAAUUAUCUUUUCACACCAAGGACAAACUAUUGAGCAUGAAGAACUCCAUGCUUCAGGAUAGCUACGGUGAAGCUAUCUACAUCAUGAUGUGCAAGUGGUACUUUGCGUUGGAUUUAUUAACUCAGCAAAAGUCUACGCAUACUCUAUUAACUAGCUAUAAAUGAGCUUUAAUAAACAUAUGCAAUAAAAAUCUUGAUUAUUGCACAUGUCAUACGUUUAUUAAACUCUUAUAAACUACAAA
Callithrix jacchus (white-tufted-ear marmoset) is the source of this 2769-nucleotide long non-coding RNA. RefSeq lists it as uncharacterized. The record is from RefSeq and is a predicted model, not a curated record. Lineage: Eukaryota; Metazoa; Chordata; Mammalia; Primates; Cebidae.